RNAcentral lists this unclassified non-coding RNA (178 nucleotides) under uncultured fungus. Its description in RNAcentral is "sequence contains ITS1, 5.8S rRNA gene". Lineage: Eukaryota; Fungi. The record is from RNAcentral.
CUGAGUUAGGGUCUUUUAGGCCUGACCUCCAACCCUGUGUUUAACUACCUGUUGCUUUGGCGAGCCCGUCUUCGGACCGCCGGCGGUCAAGUUUUGACCUCUGGCCAGUGCUCGUCAAUGGCCCAAUUUAAAAUUCUUGUCAAAAUAUGAUAUCUGAGUAUAAUAAACAAAUAAAUUA